UAGGGAAUCUUCGGCAAUGGACGACAGUCUGACCGAGCAACGCCGCGUGAGUGAAGACGGUUUUCGGCUCGUAAAACUCUGUUGUUAGAGAAGAACAAGGACGUUAGUAACUGAACGUCCCCUGACGGUAUCUCACCAGAAAGCCACGGCUAACUACGUGCCAGCAGCCGCGGUAUUACGUAGUUGGCAAGCGUUGUCCGGAUUUAUUGGGCGUAAAGCGAGCGCAGGCGGUUUCUUAAGUCUGAUGUGAAAGCCCCCGGCUCAACCGGGGAGGGUCAUUGGAAACUGGGAGACUUGAGUGCAGAAGAGGAGAGUGGAAUUCCAUGUGUAGCGGUGAAAUGCGUAGAUAUAUGGAGGAACACCAGUGGCGAAGGCGGCUCUCUGGUCUGUAACUGAAGCUGAGGCUCGAAAGCGUGGGGAGCAAACAGG
This 429-nucleotide ribosomal RNA is filed under the name Gemmatimonadota bacterium. RNAcentral describes it as "Gemmatimonadetes bacterium partial 16S ribosomal RNA". It matches the Rfam family "Bacterial small subunit ribosomal RNA", at positions 355 to 776 of the family's 1533-position model. Lineage: Bacteria; Pseudomonadati; Gemmatimonadota. The record is from RNAcentral.